CAGUCGAGGGGCAGCAUCAUCAAAGCUUGCUUUGAUGGAUGGCGACCGGCGCACGGGUGAGUAACACGUAUCCAACCUGCCGACAACACUGGGAUAGCCUUUCGAAAGAAAGAUUAAUACCGGAUGGCAUAGUUUUUCCGCAUGGGAUAAUUAUUAAAGAAUUUCGGUUGUCGAUGGGGAUGCGUUCCAUUAGGCAGUUGGCGGGGUAACGGCCCACCAAACCAACGAUGGAUAGGGGUUCUGAGAGGAAGGUCCCCCACAUUGGAACUGAGACACGGUCCAAACUCCUACGGGAGGCAGCAGUGAGGAAUAUUGGUCAAUGGACGAGAGUCUGAACCAGCCAAGUAGCGUGAAGGAUGACUGCCCUAUGGGUUGUAAACUUCUUUUAUACGGGAAUAAAGUUAGCCACGUGUGGCUUUUUGUAUGUACCGUAUGAAUAAGGAUCGGCUAACUCCGUGCCAGCAGCCGCGGUAAUACGGAGGAUCCGAGCGUUAUCCGGAUUUAUUGGGUUUAAAGGGA
Molecule: ribosomal RNA, 519 nt
Filed under: uncultured bacterium
Lineage: Bacteria
Description: bacterial SSU rRNA
Rfam family: Bacterial small subunit ribosomal RNA
Source: RNAcentral